UACGUAGGGUGCGAGCGUUAAUCGGAAUUACUGGGCGUAAAGCGUGCGCAGGCGGUGAUGUAAGACAGAUGUGAAAUCCCCGGGCUCAACCUGGGAACUGCAUUUGUGACUGCAUCGCUGGAGUGCGGCAGAGGGGGAUGGAAUUCCGCGUGUAGCAGUGAAAUGCGUAGAUAUGCGGAGGAACACCGAUGGCGAAGGCAGGUCUCUGGGCUGACACUGACGCUCAUGCACGAAAGCGUGGGGAGCAAACAGG
This 253-nucleotide ribosomal RNA is filed under the name uncultured bacterium. RNAcentral describes it as "partial 16S ribosomal RNA". It matches the Rfam family "Bacterial small subunit ribosomal RNA", at positions 524 to 776 of the family's 1533-position model. The record is from RNAcentral.